This 26-nucleotide non-coding RNA is filed under the name Homo sapiens (human). Lineage: Eukaryota; Metazoa; Chordata; Mammalia; Primates; Hominidae. The record is from RNAcentral.
UCGCAGGCACGCUGAAGCUGUACUUC